GAUGAACGCUGGCGGCGUGCCUAAUACAUGCAAGUCGAGCGAACGGACGAGAAGCUUGCUUCUCUGAUGUUAGCGGCGGACGGGUGAGUAACACGUGGAUAACCUACCUAUAAGACUGGGAUAACUUCGGGAAACCGGAGCUAAUACCGGAUAAUAUUUUGAACCGCAUGGUUCAAAAGUGAAAGACGGUCUUGCUGUCACUUAUAGAUGGAUCCGCGCUGCAUUAGCUAGUUGGUAAGGUAACGGCUUACCAAGGCAACGAUGCAUAGCCGACCUGAGAGGGUGAUCGGCCACACUGGAACUGAGACACGGUCCAGACUCCUGCGGGAGGCAGCAGUAGGGAAUCUUCCGCAAUGGGCGAAAGCCUGGCGGAGCAACGCCGCGUGAGUGAUGAAGGUCUUCGGAUCGUAAAACUCUGUUAUUAGGGAAGAACAUAUGUGUAAGUAACUGUGCACAUCUUGACGGUACCUAAUCAGAAAGCCACGGCUAACUACGUG
Molecule: ribosomal RNA, 497 nt
Filed under: uncultured bacterium
Lineage: Bacteria
Description: partial 16S ribosomal RNA
Rfam family: Bacterial small subunit ribosomal RNA
Source: RNAcentral